This 213-nucleotide long non-coding RNA is filed under the name Lathyrus oleraceus (garden pea). Its description in RNAcentral is "Pisum sativum (pea) long non-coding RNA (PSAT_LNC038371)". The record is from RNAcentral. Lineage: Eukaryota; Viridiplantae; Streptophyta; Magnoliopsida; Fabales; Fabaceae.
UUUAUUUGUAUGAUCUGGAACUCUUCCUUGCAGACUUCCGAUUUGCAUUUUAAUUUUAUUUUUUAUUUUUUUUUAUUGUGCAGGUAUGGAAAUUCUUCCCCAAAUAUGUGUAGAUACUUCUGAUGUGCUUUUAACCACUCAAAGAUUUGGUACACGAGAAGAGGUGAUUAAAUGGAUUAAAGAGGUUGGAAUCCAUAAUAAAUUAACCGUUAU